RNAcentral lists this ribosomal RNA (471 nucleotides) under Salmonella enterica. RNAcentral describes it as "bacterial SSU rRNA". It matches the Rfam family "Bacterial small subunit ribosomal RNA", at positions 1 to 468 of the family's 1533-position model. RNAcentral also lists the same sequence under 2 other names. The record is from RNAcentral. Lineage: Bacteria; Pseudomonadati; Pseudomonadota; Gammaproteobacteria; Enterobacterales; Enterobacteriaceae.
AAAUUGAAGAGUUUGAUCAUGGCUCAGAUUGAACGCUGGCGGCAGGCCUAACACAUGCAAGUCGAACGGUAACAGGAAGCAGCUUGCUGCUUUGCUGACGAGUGGCGGACGGGUGAGUAAUGUCUGGGAAACUGCCUGAUGGAGGGGGAUAACUACUGGAAACGGUGGCUAAUACCGCAUAACGUCGCAAGACCAAAAAGGGGGACCUUCGGGCCUCUUGCCAUCAGAUGUGCCCAGAUGGGAUUAGCUUGUUGGUGAGGUAACGGCUCACCAAGGCGACGAUCCCUAGCUGGUCUGAGAGGAUGACCAGCCACACUGGAACUGAGACACGGUCCAGACUCCUACGGGAGGCAGCAGUGGGGAAUAUUGCACAAUGGGCGCAAGCCUGAUGCAGCCAUGCCGCGUGUAUGAAGAAGGCCUUCGGGUUGUAAAGUACUUUCAGCGGGGAGGAAGGUGUUGUGGUUAAUAACC